This 725-nucleotide long non-coding RNA is filed under the name Homo sapiens (human). Its description in RNAcentral is "non-protein coding lnc-SPRY1-11:20". Lineage: Eukaryota; Metazoa; Chordata; Mammalia; Primates; Hominidae. The record is from RNAcentral.
AGACUGGAUUUUUGCCUGACUACGGUGCUCAGCCUUCUAGACAAUAGUUAUGCUAAGGGAUUAUCUUUUAACAUUGUGCAGUUAUCUCCUUUGUUUGUUUUCUUUUUUCAUUAUUCACAUAAGCCAAGGGAAAUGAAAAGCAUCUUAUUUCAGGCAAAAAGGCCUGUGAAUGAUUAACUCUGGUUCCAUGCGUUGGGACUUUGCAUAGCAACCCCGUGGCUUGCAACGACAAAAAAGCUCAAGGCAGGAACAGCAGCCCAGGGACCUGAGACCAGCGUUCUCAAAUGAAGCCAGAUCUGCUGUUAGAGGAGAAUUCUUCUGUCCUAGCUGUGUCUCUGUGAUCUGUGGAUGAGGGUGGGAAAGCACCACUCAGUCAAUUGGGGUGUACAAAAUGGAGUUUGAGAAGGUCUCACAUCCAGGUUGUUUUGAAGCAAAGUCCAAGCAUUGUAUCACUUCAUCUGCAAAUAUUUCAAUAAGUACCCAAAAGUGGUUGGACUGAGUCCCAUGAAGCCAGAUCACUUCUGACUGCAAGGAGCUUGGAAAAGCAAGUAUCUGGAUCUUUUACCAGCUAAAUUUGGAGUCUAAGACAGAAGAAAACUGCAGAAGAUUGCUACCCGUUCAAGUAGAAAAACUCAAGCUGGAAAAUUAGCACAGCUGGAAAGGCUAAUGAACUUAGCAUUUAAAAAUGCUUGUAGAGCCGCCAGAUCUACCCCUCAAUCCCAGAG